AACGCACAUUGCGCCCUUUGGUAUUCCUUAGGGCAUGCCUGUUCGAGCGUCAUCCAAACCCUCAAGCACUGCUUGGUGUUGGGCGCCUGUCCCCGCCUCCGGGCGCGGACUCGCCUCAAAAGCAUUGGCGGCCCGCGUAGUGGCUUCGAGCGCAGCAGACCCGCGACUCGUCCCCUCUGGCGCGGGCGUCCAGCAAGACGCAACCCCCAAGUUUGACCUCGGAUCAGGUAGGGAUACCCGCUGAACUUAA
Molecule: unclassified non-coding RNA, 250 nt
Filed under: uncultured fungus
Lineage: Eukaryota; Fungi
Description: sequence contains ITS2
Source: RNAcentral